RNAcentral lists this small nucleolar RNA (129 nucleotides) under Aegilops tauschii subsp. strangulata. RNAcentral describes it as "snoRNA Plant_U3". The record is from RNAcentral. Lineage: Eukaryota; Viridiplantae; Streptophyta; Magnoliopsida; Poales; Poaceae.
GCUUCCUAGUUACUUGAACAUGAUCUGUUCUAUAGGCUCGUACCGCUGCAUCCUUUACCAAUAAGGAGGCAAACACUUCACUCUGGUUGAGGUUGGCACUCCUGGGACCUGUUUCAUAAAGGUCAGACA